RNAcentral lists this transfer RNA (72 nucleotides) under Lotharella oceanica. Its description in RNAcentral is "tRNA-Cys". It matches the Rfam family "tRNA". Rfam says of the family: Transfer RNA (tRNA) molecules are approximately 80 nucleotides in length. Their secondary structure includes four short double-helical elements and three loops (D, anti-codon, and T loops). Lineage: Eukaryota; Cercozoa; Chlorarachniophyceae. The record is from RNAcentral.
GGGUACAUAGCUCAAUGGUAGAGUAAUUGAUUGCAGAUCAAUUUGUUACUGGUUCGAAUCCGGUUGUACCUU